Molecule: long non-coding RNA, 452 nt
Organism: Bacillus rossius redtenbacheri
Lineage: Eukaryota; Metazoa; Arthropoda; Insecta; Phasmatodea; Bacillidae
Exons: 2
Source: RefSeq, a predicted model, not a curated record
GCCAUUUUGAGGUAUUUUUUUUUGGGUUCAUAAGUUCUUGGGAUCAGGUUCUUGAUUGUUUCUUUGAAUCGCUUUGAAUAUAUUUACAACAUUUUUUUUUCAUAAAAAUAUGUCUAGUAGAUCUUGAGAAAAAAAAUCUUCACAAAAAAUACUAGUGGUAUUUUUAUCUUUGUUCCUAGAGCAGCUACAAGGUUGAAAUUUGGGGACGCCACCUUAUACUCGACUGUGGUGCCAUCUGUUGCUGUGUGGAGUUGAGUUGAGCGACAUGCUGUCGCAGUCUCACUCGGAACAACCACUCUUGGAUUUAUUUGUAUUCAAAGAAAAGCUGGUAAACAUGUGUGUUGUGUAUUGUGAAUCUAGGUAUGCUUGAAAUUUGAAUAUUGCCUGGAAACGUUAUGUGCCCUAUAUUUUUUUUGAAUGGAAUGCAAACAUUAUUAGGCUCUAGAACAGAA